UCCCUCAGUAAUGGCGAAUGAAGAGGGAAGGGCUCAUGCUUGAAAUCUCCGUUGCAUGCAACGGCGAAUUGUAGUCUGGCGAAGUGCUGUCCGGCCGGGUCGUCCCUGUCUAAGUCACCUGGAAAGGUGCGUCACAGAGGGUGACAACCCCGUACGUGACAACGGUCGCCCGGUCCACGACACGCUUUCCAAGAGUCGGGUUGUUUGGGAAUGCAGCCCAAAACGGGUGGUAAACUCCAUCUAAAGCUAAAUAUCGACACGAGACCGAUAGCGAACAAGUACCGUGAGGGAAAGGUGAAAAGCACUCUGAAAAGAGAGUUAAAAAGUGCGUGAAAUCGCUGGAAGGGAAGCGAAUGGAGUCGCCAAUUCACCUGGUCAGAUUCAGCCGCUCGCUUUCCACAACGCGCUCGCAUUUUCGCGAUCUUACCAGACGCAUCGUGUGCGACGUGGAAUGGGCGUGGCGCACUUCUGUCACGUGAACGUCAACGUCAGUUCACUGCGAGUCAAGCGGCCCCGAGGACGGUAGGUCCCGUUUUUGCGGGAUCGGUAAGCCUCUCGUGCCCGCGACUCCACGUGGACUGUGUCMUGUCGCAGCGCGGGCCUSCCUUUCGAGGRCAGGCUGCAGUCUCGUCGAUCGACCGCUCRUGGCGUUAAACGGACGGCGAUGCCUGUGCGUUACAAGCGCUGCCGGUCGMCUGGCGAGGGAAAUCGACACGACGCGCUGAGUACGUUGACCGCCAAGCGACUCCAUCCGACCCGUCUUGAAACACGGACCAAGGAGUCUAACAUGUGCGCGAGUCUCAGGGUGACCGAAACCCAUGGGCGUAAUGAAGGUGAAUGCGCUUUGUGCGCAGAGGUGAGAAGUUCGUUGCGGCUGCAUCACCGACCGACCUAUUCUACUYUUAGGAAGGUUUGAGUUAGAGCGCACCUGUUGGGACCCGAAAGAUGGUGAACUAUGCCUGAGUAGGGUGAAGCCAGCGA
Molecule: ribosomal RNA, 981 nt
Filed under: Lepidisis sp. MBARI D1168-SS1
Lineage: Eukaryota; Metazoa; Cnidaria; Anthozoa; Scleralcyonacea; Keratoisididae
Description: partial large subunit ribosomal RNA
Rfam family: Eukaryotic large subunit ribosomal RNA
Source: RNAcentral